GCCAUCAUAGCCUCUAGUGAAUCGAGACAAAGCUCUCAUUGUCUAUCUAUAUCUUCACCUCCUUACACCCUCUCAUUUAUUGAACCCUACACUCUUCAAAGUGAUUCUAACCUUCAGGGGGAAAAACAAGGUUGAUUCAGGUAAAGUGAUUUAUAAACCUACCUUUGCUUCAUGCUAAGUAGCUACCUUAAAAGUUUAUUAAUUAGUUGUUUCCCAAGUCAAAUUUGUGAGCUUUGUAUUCCUACAUGCUUUAUGAAUUGCUCAUAGUUGCUACUUGCAGAUCAAUUCAGGACUCAGCUUCAUCAACUAUAAACACAACAAUUUUUUGGUCAGGUUUAUAUAUCUUACCAUCUUUCAUGUUUGAUGAAGAAAUAAGGCUAAGUAUGCAUUUGGUUUUUGUGUAUUAGCAUAUAUAUAUAUAUAUUAUUAUGUGUGCCUGGCUCCCUGUAUGCCAUUUGUAGAGUUCAUCAGCAUGGUUGAUGGCCUUAAUGAAUGGCGUACCAGGAGCCAUGCAUGCAGUGUAUAGUUUUUUUUUGCUUCCUAUAGGUAUUCUCGCACCGGAGACAAUCUUGUCCGAGCUAAGAAUAUCCACAGGUAUGUGGGGCUAUAUGCAGUGUAUUGUGUAUAGUUUACAUAAUAGUAAAGUGAUUUCUAUCUUCUGCAUACUAAUAUAGUUGAUAAUUUUCUCUUAAAUUCAGUUUCAAAUUUUCAAUAAUAUCCUUUGUCUAUUUUAUGUUUUUUUUUCAUCAUUAUUUUGGAAAGGGUAGAGAGGAAGGGUUUGAAAUGUUUCCUAAUCUCAUUUGGUAGUGUUAGGUUAAUGAUUAAACAGUUAAUUAUAUAUGCUCAUGUCUAUUCAGCCUUUGUGGUCCAAAAUGUCAUUGACUUAGCUAGGUGGCAGACAUAUAAGCUUUAAUUUAAUUAAAUUUAUCUACUUUCAAUAUUUAAAAUGUCUUAAAACCUUAUUAAGAAGAGUUUUAUUACCUUUGUAGUUGUGCUAGGCUUAAACCCUAAUUACUUGACAACAUUAGGUGUUCAAAUGCAUUAUGAAUUAUAACAAAAGCAUAUUAAUUGACAUAUGUUGUCCCCACUCUAGUAAAGAUCAUUGUGACCCUAAUGUUGACGUAUCCACCAAUCUUUUUCAUUGUUGUGUUGUCAUUUUUGUUGUUAUAUUGAUUAGUUAAAGUCUUUACUUCAUUUACAUAUGUUUAUAUUCAACUCUAAUUACUAACAAGAUGUUGGUCUAGUGGUAUAAGGCUUCGUUAGAUCUCUAGAAUGAUCAAAAGGUCAAGAGUUCGAUUUCUAGGAACAACACUUGUUGAGAGGAGCAACCAUAAACUUUGAAAAAGAUUAGUUCAUUACCAUAAGGUGGGGAUACCCUUGGUAGUACCAAAAAAAAAAUAUAUUCAACUCUAAUUAGGUGUUUGGUUUUUAGUUAUACAUCAUUUUUGUUUUACCAUAUUGGUUGAAAAAUAAUAGCACCAUUGACAAUUAAGAGUGCUAAUUAAUAAACCAAAGUUGAUUAAUGAGAAUUGAAUAGGUAUUAAUGUAUCUAUGUACCAAGGUUUAGACAACUACAAAAUUUAUUUAUUUUAUUGAAAAUGAUCAUCUUGCAUCCUUUUUCCAAUAUCAUUUGUCAUCAUACUUACCUCAUUAUUAUUUAUCAUUUACUCAUUGUCAUUUUCAAAGCAAAAACUCUUGAUCAAUGGGUAAAAUAGAUGUAAAAAAUACAUGAAGAAAAGAGUUUGAGAAUAUUAUUACUCAUUUAUUUAACACUAUCAGCUUUUGUGACCCUUUGUAGUCACACAAGUACACUCUUAAAAAUUAGAUUAUUUAACAUUAUGUCUUUUCCAGCUUUUGUUACCCUUUAUAGUCACACAAGUAUACUCUUCAAAAUUUGACUAAUGCCAUUUAUUAUCUUGGCGCACUAGAAUUUAUAUGCUUGUUAAGUUUUGCAUGAGUAAUGCAAUGUAGAUUAUAUUAUUGGUGCAACUACGUACAUAUCUCAAUUAAUAUAUCCGCUUAUACUUUAGAGGUUGAAAUGGCCUUAAUAAAGUUUGUUCAUUCAAGUCAUAUAUGUUUCUUUACCAGAUGUUUCUGAAGUACACUUUGAAAUGUUUUGUAGAAAAUUUUCUUAUAGCUACUAAAAUCACUAUUUCCUAUUAACUUUGCAACUAUUCUGGAAGCUUUACUACUUGACACUAGUUCACUUGAGUGCAUGGUAAAGUUUUCAAAUCAAUGUUGAGUUUAUUCAAGUGUUAAGUCUCACAUUGAAUACGAGGGAAAAACGAAGUAGUUUAUAAGUAGAAAAUGUCUAUAAAAUUAAUACUUUUAAUGUUUUAGUUCAAGAUAUGAUGUUUCAUUUGUGGCUAUUCACUAUUUCCAUGUCUCGGUAACAACAAAACUCUCCAGUCAUAGUUUGAUCCAACAAGUGAUAUCAGAGCCAAUAGUUCGAUUGAGACAAUUAGUAGACUUAAGAGGGAGUGAACCAGAAAGUGUGUAGUUGCUACACAUGAAUGGUGAUUGUUGAGUUUAUUAAAGUGUGAAGUCUUAUACCCAUGACACUAAUACCUUAACUUUUAGUUUAAGAUAUGAUGUCUCACUUGUGCUUCCCACUGUGGUCCAACAAUAUUUCAUGACUGAAAUAUUACAAACCAUUUUUUGUGAUCUGUGUUUUUGUUACAUUUCACAUAUAAACAUGCAAGUGACUAAAUAAUUCAUAGAACUCAAAUAACAAUAUUCAUGGAACUCUCAUACUUUAUAUUUGAUUUGAACACACAGUGUAAAUAGAAGGAUUGAGCACGUUAUGUACUAUUAUGGAAACUAACAAACUAUUGCAUGUGCAGUUCACAAUUAACUUGUAUAGUCAUUGAACUAAUACAAGGAUUCAGCACAUUGUAUACUGUUUUUGCAAACAGGGAAAGUGACAACUAUGUUGUACUGUGUCAAUGUUCUUGCACGUGGAUAUAGGAAAUAUGUGGUUAUUAGUUAUUACUAGUUACUGCUUUGGUUACUUCAUUUCGAACAUUUGUUUCAAUAGUUACUUCAAUUUUGUUGUAUCUUGUCUUGUUAUGAGAUGCUUCUGCCACCAAAAAAUCUGUGUACACACAAAUUCAAAUGUAACUUGCUUUUUCCAUUGAGGUCUUAUUUCUUUUUUUUAUAUUUAUUAUUUACAUCUCACUUCUGAAAGUAAUUAGAGUAAAUUAUAUUGAC
RNAcentral lists this long non-coding RNA (3210 nucleotides) under Lupinus angustifolius (narrow-leaved blue lupine). RNAcentral describes it as "long non-coding RNA (LANG_LNC000889)". The stretch from base 431 to 517 matches the Rfam family "mir-160 microRNA precursor family". The record is from RNAcentral. Lineage: Eukaryota; Viridiplantae; Streptophyta; Magnoliopsida; Fabales; Fabaceae.